This 272-nucleotide ribosomal RNA is filed under the name uncultured Desulfomicrobium sp. RNAcentral describes it as "partial 16S ribosomal RNA". It matches the Rfam family "Bacterial small subunit ribosomal RNA", at positions 525 to 796 of the family's 1533-position model. Lineage: Bacteria; Pseudomonadati; Thermodesulfobacteriota; Desulfovibrionia; Desulfovibrionales; Desulfomicrobiaceae. The record is from RNAcentral.
ACGGAGGGUGCAAGCGUUAUUCGGAAUUACUGGGCGUAAAGCGCACGUAGGCCGCUUUGUAAGUCAGGGGUGAAAUCCCACGGCUCAACCGUGGAACUGCCCUUGAAACUGCGAAGCUUGAAUCCUGGAGAGGGUGGCGGAAUUCCUGGUGUAGGAGUGAAAUCCGUAGAUAUCAGGAGGAACACCGGUGGCGAAGGCGGCCACCUGGACAGGUAUUGACGCUGAGGUGCGAAAGUGUGGGGAGCAAACAGGAUUAGAUACCCCAGUAGUCC